UACAGAGGAUGCAAGCGUUAUCCGGAAUGAUUGGGCGUAAAGCGUCUGUAGGUGGCUUUUUAAGUCCGCCGUCAAAUCCCAGGGCUCAACUCUGGACAGGCGGUGGAAACUACCAAGCUGGAGUACGGUAGGGGCAGAGGGAAUUUCCGGUGGAGCGGUGAAAUGCGUAGAGAUCGGAAAGAACACCAACGGCGAAAGCGGCUCACUGGACCAUAACUGACGCUGAUGCACGAAAGCUGGGGGAGCAAACAGG
Molecule: ribosomal RNA, 253 nt
Filed under: uncultured bacterium
Lineage: Bacteria
Description: partial 16S ribosomal RNA
Rfam family: Bacterial small subunit ribosomal RNA
Source: RNAcentral